UACGGAGGGUGCAAGCGUUAUCCGGAUUUACUGGGUUUAAAGGGUGCGCAGGCGGACUUUUAAGUCAGUGGUGAAAUCUUUCAGCUUAACUGGAAAACUGCCAUUGAUACUGAAAGUCUUGAAUAUAGUUGAGGUGGGCGGAAUUUGGCAUGUAGCGGUGAAAUGCUUAGAUAUGCCGAAGAACACCAAUUGCGUAGGCAGCUCACUAAACUAUUAUUGACGCUCAGGCACGAAAGCGUGGGGAGCGAACAGG
RNAcentral lists this ribosomal RNA (253 nucleotides) under uncultured bacterium. Its description in RNAcentral is "partial 16S ribosomal RNA". It matches the Rfam family "Bacterial small subunit ribosomal RNA", at positions 524 to 776 of the family's 1533-position model. The record is from RNAcentral.